Non-coding RNA from Coturnix japonica (Japanese quail), 2095 nucleotides. Lineage: Eukaryota; Metazoa; Chordata; Aves; Galliformes; Phasianidae. The record is from RefSeq and is a predicted model, not a curated record.
GGCAUCCACAACCUCUCUGGGCAAAAUAAAUCGCUCACAGUUUUCAUGGGUGUGUCUUUGAAGAGAACUGAGAUUACAGGGAUGUGGGGAAAGAAAUCAGCAGUAACAUGAUGGAAAAUAGAAAUUCCUUCUCCUCUCUUGACAUAUCUCAGCAACCUAUUAAGAUUGCAGCUCUUCUUCCAGCUCUGGCUGUUUGUGAAAGGAACCAUAGCAAUGCAAAGUUAAUUCUGUGUUUUAUGUCCUGUGUCCUGAGAUCUAGCAAAAGGAAACACCUCAUGAUCCACUCCCUCUGUGCAAUGUAGAAUGCUGCAGCUCUGUGUGGGAACAUCUGCUCCUUUUUUCUGAUCAUUGGAAUCUUAUUGGCUGCUUGGUUGAAAACAUUUCAAACAAGCAGGUAUGCUAAGGGGUAUGUGUGGAUGUCUCAUCUAAUGCAUGGAUAUUAAAUGUGUAUUAUCACGCUUCUUCUUGGUGUGUGAAAUAGAAGAUGCCAGGUGUGAUUCAUGGGUUUGACAGGGGAGUUAGUAAGUUUACCUGAGGACAUUCUGAAACAUCAUGAGGUGUGUUGUAGCUAAAUAUAAAGCAAGGCAAUCUGUGCCAAUCUGGGAAACAGAACUAAUGGUGUGGUGCAGAUAUAGCAGAGACUGCCAGGAGAAGGCAGACAAAUGCUCCCACUGACUUCUUGCAAGCUGUAAAGGCAGUCAGACUUGCCCACAGAUGCAGGGCUGUGACUGGAACUAAUAUUCAGUAUUUGUAGGAGGCUGGGGUGGAGAGGAAGGAUGAUAAGAAGAUGCAAGAAUUCGAACAAAAAGGGGGACAAGUUGUUGAAAGCUGAAGAGGGAUUCCAGAGUACUUAGGGCUUUCCAUUAUGCAUCCAAGAUAAUCGUAACUUGGAAUCAACAUAAAUCAAAGUGGCCAGAAAAUAAAAUUCUGCUGGUCUCCUUUUGGCCUGGCUAAUGAUUUGAAUAGCCAGCUCCUAGCAACAGUUCUGUAACACACAUGAGGCUGAAUGCUUUGUGACAGUACAAUGGUGCUCAGCAGAGCCUAAGGAGGAAAGAUGCAGGGUGUCCUCCAAGAAAGGUGGGACAGUGCCUUGCAAGGGAUAUGGUUUAAUGCAUGUGGAGGGAAUUAGCCAGCCAAAAUAUUUGCUGUGUGGAAUAAUCCACUCUCAACAGCACAGAGCUACUGCUGAAGAUGGCUACAGUAUUAAACUCCUGGUAGUCACAGGCAAAAGAGGUCUUUUCUGAUUUUAACCUGCCUCAGGUCUGGCCUCCAGUUGUGAACAUAGAAGAAUUAUGUUUUGGAACUUGACACUACCCACAGUAAGAAAUCCCCAUAUUUGGGGAUGCUGUUCCGUGCAAGUCCCAGGAUGAAGCCUACGCACUUCAACUGCAGGGGAUGGAUGAAGUGAAUUGCACCACUUCCCAUCACUCAAGACCACCCAUCUGUAAUCAACACUCUCACUGCACCUUCAACCCACAUAUAGCCACCUUGGGGAGCCACAACAUUUGGAGCGUGGAAGUUAGAAAAGUGAAGGCACCUGAGCAACCUGGGGUUUCUACUCUAGUAGAAUCAGAUGUUAAUAAUGGAUUGCACAGAAUGAUUCACACCCUACAUAGUAUUCGUUUCUCACUGGCUACAGGUUUGUCAGGUUAAUCCCACACACUGAUAUUUAUUGCCUAAAUGAAUACACCCGCAGCACAAUCAGAACCAGUCUGCAGGAGACGUUAGUUGGCAUAACUUCACGGACUGUUAACAUCUUCAUUCUUUAUGAAGCAGGUGUCAGUCACAGCUCUGUAUAUGAUUUAUAGGAGAGAUAAAUGCUUUCAACAUCUUCCAGUAGACAGAAUCAAGAAGUAUCUGAGGCUGCGGCAAAGCCAACGACAAUGUCUGACAGUUGCAAACCUGUGUUUACAGAUCUGAAUUGCCCAAUGGCAUUGCUCUUGUUUUACCACUAACAACUCUUGCAAAGUGUAAACUCUUGUUUUAGUUCACAAACAGCUCUUUCAUGUGAAAAAAGCUGAUCAAGAAUGAUGAGCUCUGUGUUACGUCUGAGCUGGACGCUGUCACAGACGUGCGCCAGGUCUCACAUUGUACA